Long non-coding RNA from Peromyscus californicus insignis, 6135 nucleotides. RefSeq lists it as uncharacterized. The transcript is spliced from 4 exons. NCBI's taxonomy places the organism in Eukaryota, Metazoa, Chordata, Mammalia, Rodentia, Cricetidae. The record is from RefSeq and is a predicted model, not a curated record.
AUGAGUGGAUUCUCUUCCAUUCUCCCUUUCUCUUUGGAGGAGAGCUGAUUGCCAGCAAGGGGUGGGGGGUCAUGGAAGAAGGGUGGGUAGCUGGGAUUCACUGUAGGGACACAAGGAAAACCUGAGACUACCAGCCUUCCUUUUGUUUGUAGAGUUGGUGUGAGCUCCUUUGGACUGAGAUGCACACAGGAAAUGGACUGGCCAGGUGUGUCUGUGGGGGCCUGACUCAGGAGGGGAGAUCUGUCAGAAUGUGUGCCUAUCCCAUGGCUGGGGGCCUGGGAGGAACCAAGGGAGAGGCGGGAGCUAUGAGCGCGGGCGCUCUUCCCGCUUCCUGAUGGGCAAGCACUCUUUCCGGCCACACUCCCACCUCAGGGCUCCACCUAUCACAGACAGACUCUGAGCUAGUUGGAUUUUCUCUCCUCUAAACUCUUUCUUGUCAGCAUCAGUGAGUCAAACGUAGCCAGUGCCCGGACAGGAAGACCCUGGAGCACUCUCCUUGGUCUGCCUAUCUUCAGGGGAGACACGGGAAAAUUCCCUCUGUGCAGAGAUGACCCGCAAGGUUCAUCUGAAAUGACCACUGGAGGCGAGCUUUCCCGAUGGCAUGCUCACUGGCAGAGUGCAGGAGAUGCCUGAGGUAAAUCAGUGAGGUCCCGGGGUCACAUCCACCCUGCUCACAGGUGGUCUUGGAUGAAGCCAGCUUUUCAUCUUUACACAGCUCGGAAGACCUUGGCUUUGCCGAAGGAGGCACAGACAGCAAGCCCGUGGUGGCACAGCUCAUCACUGUCAGCAGCUGUGAUGAGACCUGCCUUAGGCCUGGCUCUCAUAAUGCUUCCACCACAACCAUGGUGCCUUUACGAGCCCACACCCCUUCAGCUCACUAUCUUCAAAUCCGUAGAAGAAAUUCCACAGAAGGUUCUGGAGACCUGUCGCUGUGUCCUCACUGACAUGUGGCGUCUCCGUGGCUUCAGCUGUCUUAGGUCCCACCCAUCAAUGUGUCUCUCCUCAUCCUCUCUUAAUCCAGUCAGCCCCUGACAUAAGAGGUCGGCGCCUACUACAACUUUCUGAUGACGUGUUCAGAGUUCCCAGUGUUCAGAGGAAGUUGCCCUUUGAACCUUUUGCUCUUUUCUGGCCGAUCUCACUUGCUCACAGUGCAGCUAGCUCCCAGAGGGCCAUACCGUCCUUAGAGCAGCCAGAGCUCCAGGUCAGGGGCAUCAAGAACAUUUGGAUUUAUAAUGUCUGUGAUGCAUUUUCCCCAUCUUAAAUGGAGGGGUAUUGGCAUCCCAUCCCUUGCAUAGGCUUCUUCUCCUCUGGGAUUUAGUCCCCUCCCUUAAUUCUCAACACCACCAGCGGAUGUCAGUCAUAGCAUUGGGGGCGGGGCUCUCCUCCAUGCAGGCUUCUUUCCUGUUCUCCCCCCUCCCCCAGAGAUAACCCUCUUAGGAACAGAGCUCAUGUCUUCUUUACUUGUCCACGCUUCUCUAGAACCUAUCCCGUGACCACGAACCUGACACCUAGGCACCCCGAUAAACAUUUCUUCACGGGCGUGCUUCCUGUGUAGACAGUAAGACUUGAUGCCUUAGACAAGGCCCACUUCUGUCUAAAUGACAUCUCGUGGACAGUUUAUGCUGCGGGCUGAGCAUUCCUGAGUAUCUGGAAACCCAAAAUGCCCCGCAUCGCACCACAGAUGGAAAAUUUCAUACUGAGGAACUUGGUUUUGUGAAUAGCGUUAUUGAACAUAUUGUGUGUAAAUAGCUUCAGGCUGUGUGUGUAAGGUGCCUUUGACAUGGUACGGGGUUGCUGCUCAGUCUCAGCUCCACACCCAAGAUAGCGCACCGUGCUUGUGUGUAAACAAACUGAAAUAGGAACCACUUCCGGCCCCAGGGACGCAAAUGUUGGUCAAGUCGGUUCCCAACAACCACGCUUCAGCUGACGGGCAGAGAGCAGGAGGCAGCCGAGUCGCACACAGCUCCUGGUUGUGUCAGCAGGGCAGAUGGACACUCAGCUGGUGUGCUUCUUGCUUGACUGCCGUGGUUUGGGGCCCUGAUGAGCGUGCUGUGCUCACAGGGGUAGGUGUGGAUGGGGGAUUUUGGUGCCAGCACAUGCCACUCUAAACUCAGCAGAGUAUAUGUGCAAAUUGACCCCCAGACUGGCCCCCCAAGCCUGUGCAGGGAGUCUGGAGGCUGCAGGGAACUCUGGCAGGUGCCGAGUGGGUAAGCGAACAGAGGGAAAUGUCACAGCGACAGGAGUGACUAUUUGACCAUUGUCCUCUCUGCCCUGGCUUCUUCCCAACCCACGGGUGUCCUUUGUAACUCAUGCUGGGUUCAGAAAUCCUGGAACGUCCUUUGUGUCCAUUUACAUUCCAUCAGCAUGCUGGCUGGCCGCUGUGCCCUCCCUCCCUGUGAGUAAGCCCAGAGAGCUGUUGGCACCCUGCGAUUGUGCCUGUGUCUUUAACCCUCAUUAACAGGGCUGGCUCACUACAGUUGAACCUUCCUCUCCCUGCCUCUCUCUCCAGCUCCUGUCGUCCACCCCCUCCACUCAUGCCUCACGGUGGACUUUGUGACUUCUUACAGUACGGCUUCAAGGAGAGGACACAGCGUGAUUUAUUUGAGUAAAUGAACCUCUGAGUCGCUGAGGGAAAGAGGAAGCCAACGUGGAAAUCCUGUCAACAUCAGACUGUCUAUAUUCCCAAGAAGAGAAAUCAGAUCCAUGAAGGAGGCCACGUGGUCCACAGAGAUGAGGAAAUGCAGGAGCAGAGAAGUCUGGUCAGUUGGCUCUGGAGCCUCAAAACUCUGGAUGAGCGUUCCUGCACUGACUUCUGUGGCUGGUGGCUUGCAGCCGGGGUGGUUUUCCGUGGUCAUGGUGGCUGCUCUGUCCUACAGUGGGAGGGGCAGGUCCUUUCCCCAGUGGAAAGGGAACCAGCCCAAAUGUGCUCUGUGACCAGGGGAGAGGUCUGGACUGUGUGCACCCUGCUCCUGGGCAUGUAGAUUCUAGGCUGACUUCAUUAGCAGGCUGCAUUUUAUCCACACGAGGCCUUCUGCCAGAUAAAGGCUGCAGAACCCCUGGGUACCAAAGGAAGCUUGGGCUGAAGUGGAGAAAAGAAAGGCUGGGCUCAGGGCACAGAUAACUUUGUUGGUAAAGGGCUGAGAAAUGAAUGAACGAGGACUCAGUUUGAUUCCGGAACCCACCUAAAAAGCUGGGCAUGAGCUGGGCGGUGGUGGCAUGCACCUUUAAUCCCAGUACUCGGGAGGCAGAGCUAGGUGGAUCUCUGUGGGUUCGAGGCCAGCCUGGUCUAUAGAGUGAGAUCCAGGACAGGCACCAAAACUACACAGAGAAGCCCUGUCUCGAAAAACCAACCAACCAACCAACCAACCAAACAAACAAACAAACAAACAAAAACUGGGCAUGGUGAUACAUACUUGGGAUCCCAGCACUGUUACUGCAGAGGCAGGAGAAUCCCUGGGUUCACUGGCUAGCCAGUCUAGCCUGUUACCAAGCUCCAGGCCAGUGGUAGACCUUGCCUCAAAACAAACAAACAAACAAACAAAAGCAAAAACAAGGUACAUGACACCUGAGGUUGACCUCUGGCCUCCACACCCAUUUCACCAUACAUAGGUAGGAAUGGGGAAGGGAGGGAGAGGAGAGAGAGAGAGGGAGAGAGAGAGAGAGAGAGAAACAGGGACCAUCAUUUAAGAAGCCCUGACCUUAGCUGACCUUGACUGACCUUGGCUGACCUACCCACUUUGCUGAGCCUGUUUUCUCCCAGGUAAUGUAGGAGGCGAAGUGGGAUGUGUUCGUGGGGUGGGGGAUGGGACGUGCGGAUGGUGGAUUGGGAUGCAGGGGGGUAGUUUGGCCACUCUGAAUUCUUUCCACCACUUUAAACCGGUGUCAGGAUCUAGUCCAGCCUGCUGCUGCAGAGGAUGACCUCCUUCGGAAGGGAGAGAGUUGCUGAGGGGCCGCUCCAGUGCAAGACAAAGCCGUGGGAAGGUUUGGCCAGUCCGUUUUCCUGCCUCAGCAGCCAGAUCCACUCCCAAGGCGGCGGAAAGCUUCGGAAGGAAAUUGGAUUGCAAUUUAAUUGAUGGCCUGGAGGAUGUGCUGCGGUCAUUAAGCUGCCCUGGAAAGCCAGCCAUUGUUCUGUACAGCACGACAGAGCUCUGCUUGGAUGACACCACACGUGUAUGGACGUGCAUGUGUGCCCAGUCUCUUCCUCACUGGGCCCACUGUGAGCAGGAGUGUGCCUCCGCUGCCAGAGGGACCCCAGUGACCACCAUCACAUCACAUGCUUUCUGGGAGGAUCUUAAAGCCAGCAGCCCCCCAGCUCUGCCUCUGGUCUCUCAUUCCUCUCCAGCCCCCAAACCUGCAGCCUGGGAACGCCCUCUCCUCGGACCUUGCCAUAGUCACCUAAGUCCCUGCAUGGUCUCUACCACCUGCGCAGUCUCCACCAGACUCCUGAUUCUGUCAGCUCCUGGGAAGCUCCACUGUGAGCUUCCAGAUGCUUCCUCUGGGUCUUGGAAAGCUCCCUGGUCAGAGUUCUGACAAGUCUCACAGCCAAAAGAAAAUACCCCCAGCUCCGUUGAAAUCUCUGAUUCCCGAGCCAUUUCCAUAAAGAUGUUCCUUCUGUUCUGUUCUCUUUAUUCAUGGCUCACUUUUUUUUUUUAACGUAUUAUAAAAUAGCAUUUCCCAAAUUUCCAGUGUUAUCCAGAUCUGGCUGAAACCUUUAGCCUGGAUUUCAAGUUUCUGAAGGGAAGGUCUUGCAGUCAGCAGUGGCUGGGUAAGAGAAUGCAAGGCUCAGCUUCCUCAUCUGUGAAAUGGGUGUGUGUGGGACACUUCACGGAGUGGUUGAGAAUUAAAAGGGCAGAGCCCUGUCCAGAGCAGGAGCAUGGGGACCCCCAGGCAGCACUGACUGCAGUGACAGAGAUUCCCACGUGACAUGUUCUCUGCUCUCAGGACCUUUUUCUCACCGCCAGCCAUGAGUUGGGUUGAUCUAAAGUCAAAUCACUUUGGAAGAGAGAUUCUCUCUUCCUAGUGCAUCUAUAGAACCUCAAAUUCAUUCAUUCACUCAUCCAUCCAUCCAUCCACCCACCCAUCCACCCAUCCACCCAUCCACCCAUCCAUCCAUCCAUCCAUCCAUCCAUCCAUCCACCCACCCACCCACCCAUCCAUCCAUCCAUCCAUCCAUCCAUCCAUCCAUCCAUCCAUCGCUUUCUUCUUUUGAUUAGUUUCCAGUUCAGCUCCUGUAUCUGACACUAAGCUUAGAAGAAGCCAGACAAGGGCCAAAACUCAGCCUUGGUGACCUUGGUACCUGCCCUGGGAUGAUAGGGAUGGAAAUGUCUGUGAUUGCUGCAGGCUCUCUCUGUCUCUGUCUCUGUCAUCUCUGAGUCUUGGUUUCUUUCUCUCUCUCUCCCUGCCCCUCAGUCUCUCUCCCUCCUCCCAACGCUCCUCUCUCUGUGUGUAUGUGUCUUUAUUUUAGGAGCUUCUUCCCUCCCUGACUGGGAGCCCCUUCCAGGCCUCAGACCAGGGGGAGGGAGCCUGUUUGCAGAGAAGGGAGAGGCCUUGUGAAGCCUAGAGUGGACCCCCUCCCCUCCAUCCCUGGUCCCUGUAAUCAGACGUUCUAUCAGCUCCUGGGACAGAAAAGACACCCGGACCACAUGCAGCCAACUCUAUGCAGCCCAGCCCUCAAGAAGACAGAGUGACCUGGCUCAGCUACAUGCAGGACUCAGAAUUCCAAGCGCCCUGGGCACACUCGUGAAAAGUACGAGGGUUCAAGUGAACUCUGCAGAUUACAGCUCAUGGAUGGAAUCUGGCCCUCUGACUGUUUGUAUAAAUAAAACUUUAUUGGGACAUUGUGUGCUUUUCCUUUUAGAUGCUGUCUAUGGCUACCUUCCUGUUUCCUCAGCAGUAUCAGGCAGCCUAAACUAUUUACUUCUUGACCAUUUAAAGGAACAUCUUGCCAACCUCUGACAUAUGAAAAUGGCUGUUUUAUUUUAUUUAGUUAAAAAAUUUUAAAGGGAAAAUACCGUCAAUUUCACAUGGCUGGACCUAAUUUCCCACUUCUCAGAGAGAUCAAAUGACGGGCCCAGGGCUGUACAGCUGGAGAACAGAAGGAUGAGGACACCAGCAUAGAGACUUCGCUGAAGCCAA